AGGAUGUGAGGGCUGUUCUGUCAUAUGCUCUUCUCUCCUCCAAAAGAGGCUAUAAAAUCCAUCCUCUUAUUGCCACUGCUUUCACCCUUGGUCCCGAUCAUCUACAGACUGAAACAAGACUAACCACAUAGUAAUCAAGUACCCAGGUUUCAUUUCGCUGUGUUCAUGGAUCACGUCGUCUUUCGUGGGUAUGAGGUCUUUGUAUUAAAACUAUGUGAUGUCUUACUUGCUUUUUAAUUGAUGCAACAGUUUCAUGCAGUAUAUCAUUGAGGAGGUAUGCUGACGUACAGCGUGUGUGUCGUUUAGUAUAUGACACGCCUUUUCUCAUCACCAUCGGUAUUCAUUCAAAUGUCAUAAAUCCAAUUUUAUUUAUAAAACACAUUUUUGAGUGCAGUACAUACAAUACAAAUCAACAAAUCAACUGUUUUCUUCCUACUGACUGUGUUUGGAUUGUCGACCAUGGUAAUAAUGGACUGACCGGCCAAUCUGCAGCGCCGCACCACCAGAUCAAUAAUGAAAGUAAAACUACUGGUGUCACAUGAUUGAUAGCGUUAUCUUUAUCUUUACUGUGUCUGCGGCCGUGACACAGAGACAAUAAAGUCAUAAGUUAAUAAACAGUUGUUUUUUUUGUUUUUUUAUUGUUUUUGUUUGAGAUCAUGAUUACUGAUGAUUAGUCACAGGUAAAAGGGAUUAAAUGUUUUUUUUUUUGCGGUGUGCUGUCAUUGAAUGAGAUUUUGACACAUUAGGUUGACAUUAUCAGCCUUAAAGUUCAAUUUUGAUCUGAUUUAACAGCUCACUUUCAUUUCUUUCUUGGGCCAUAACUUACAUCCCCAGAAAACACCACAGAAAACAGAUACAUGUUUUCACUGUUAAAAGAAUGAGAUCAUUUUGGAUGUUGAAAUUAUGUUUUUGUUUUAUGAACUGAGAUAAAUCUCUUGGUGAUUUACUUUUAAUUGAAAUAAGAUCCUGUUGCUUGUCACAUUGAGCAAUAAACAAUAAAUCCAAA
Molecule: long non-coding RNA, 1006 nt
Organism: Solea senegalensis (Senegalese sole)
Lineage: Eukaryota; Metazoa; Chordata; Actinopteri; Pleuronectiformes; Soleidae
Exons: 2
Source: RefSeq, a predicted model, not a curated record